AUGUACCACCAGGGUGCCCCAUGCACUUGUUCAUCAGGCAGUAUGAGAAAAAUGCAAUUUGACCGUGACUCAGAAGAAAGUUACCAGGAGAAAAGGACAAAACUAGGAGGGGUUGUCCUGAAGCAAAAUAUCCCAAAUGAGGUACAUGCAUCGCAGGUUUAUACCACGACAAUGUUUGAAAAUUUUGGUGAAGCCUUGUAUGAACGUGGGUUGUAUGAUCUAGUAGAAGUCAAGCCACAUUUGGAGUACAUUGCUAGGCACAUCAAAUUUCAGUCGAGGGAAAAGUGGUGCAAGAAUGAGUUUGUGAUUUCCGUGAGCGAGUCGGCUGAUGAGUUCGGGUGCGAGUGUGGGACAUUCGAGCACUAUGGAAUGGUUUGCAGCCAUGCACUUAAGGUCGUGAUACACCUGAAAUUGCAUGAGCUCCCUGCGAAGCAUGUGCUCAGGCAAUGGACUAGAGAUGCAAGAGAUAUACUACUGCCAGAGUAUCUGCGCUGCCAGAAGGAUCAUGGAACGCUGAAGUAUUCUUCUCAUCAACGCAACACUUUGUACCUGCUAGCGCUUGAUGCCGGUAAGUUAGGCGACAGCAAUGUGGAAGCAUGUGCACUUGCUAUGGAGAAAAUGCGAGAUGUCAAAGUGUUGGUCGAGCCAGUUGCCGCCAUGAGGGAUGGGCUUGGUUUGUCUGAUAUAGAGUUGGCUACAGAUUCAGCCGGCUCUAGCGUUGGUAACAAGCAGCACUUUGGCCGAACUGAGUUUGAGCACACCAUUUUGCAAGCAUCCGAUGUGUUCCCGACGCCGAAACGACCGGCUGGGCGUCCCACAAGGUCACAACUAGCCGCGACAAAGCUCCAUACGAGGAACCAUCAAAGAGUAGAUUAUGUUAUGUAUGCGGAGUUCAGGGACACAAGAGCACAACAUGCCUUGCUCGGGGGAUGUGCCAAAGGCACCUAG
Molecule: ribosomal RNA, 948 nt
Filed under: Triticum aestivum (bread wheat)
Lineage: Eukaryota; Viridiplantae; Streptophyta; Magnoliopsida; Poales; Poaceae
Description: partial small subunit ribosomal RNA
Source: RNAcentral